This 451-nucleotide ribosomal RNA is filed under the name uncultured bacterium. RNAcentral describes it as "bacterial SSU rRNA". It matches the Rfam family "Bacterial small subunit ribosomal RNA", at positions 340 to 786 of the family's 1533-position model. The record is from RNAcentral.
UACGGAAGGCAGCAGGGGGGAAUAUUGCACAAUGGGCGCAAGCCUGAUGCAGCCAUGCCGCGUGUAUGAAGAAGGCCUUCGGGUUGUAAAGUACUUUCAGUCGUGAGGAAGGUGUUAAGGUUAAUAACCUUAGCAAUUGACGUUAGCGACAGAAGAAGCACCGGCUAACUCCGUGCCAGCAGCCGCGGUAAUACGGAGGGUGCGAGCGUUAAUCGGAAUUACUGGGCGUAAAGGGCACGCAGGCGGUUAAUUAAGUUGGAUGUGAAAUCCCCGGGCUUAACCUGGGAAUGGCAUUCAAGCUGGUUAGCUAGAGUCUUGUAGAGGGGGUAGAAUUCCAUGUGUAGCGGUGAAAUGCGUAGAGAUGUGGAGGAAUCCGGUGGCGAAGGCGGCCCCUGGACAAAGACUGACGCUCAUGUGCGAAAGCGUGGGGAGCAAACAGGGAUUAGAUACC